CCAAAGGCUCUUUUAAGAGCCUUCCACAUUGCUAUAAGAGUAUUC
Salmo salar (Atlantic salmon) is the source of this 45-nucleotide non-coding RNA. The record is from Rfam. Lineage: Eukaryota; Metazoa; Chordata; Actinopteri; Salmoniformes; Salmonidae.